CUCUACUUUAGGAAGCUAGUGCCUUUCUCUGGCCUCCCAAAGCUACUCCCAGAUGUCCUUCCCCAUAAGAGUUGUGCUGUCCCAAGCUUCAACUCAGCUGGAGACACAGGGUAAGGGCCAUGAACCAAGACAAGCCCUUCUGUACCAAGCUUCUUUCUCUUCUGGGAAAAAAAAAUCCCAAUUUUUUAAAAAUAAUAGGCCUUAAGAAAAUGCAAUCUAAAUUUUAUUUUCUUGUGGCUGAUUUUUAAGGCUUGUGAAAUCUAGUGACGUUGCAUAGGGCCUAACACAAUGGCCCCAUUCCUAGUCUCUUGGUGAAUAUUUAGCUUUAGGAAAAUUAUGCUUUAAGUAUAAAAUGCACCCACUUUCUUUAUAGGAGAAGGAAAUGGCAACCCACUACAAUGUUUUUGCCUGGAAAAUUCCAUGGACAGAGGUGACCGGCAGGCUACAGUCCAUGGGAUCGCAGAGAGUCAGACAUGACUGAACAACUAUCACUCACUCCCUCACUUUCUUUAUAAGGCUUCCUUAUACUCCUUGGCUUCAGUGAGAUAACAGAUAUUAAACUGUGGCAUGUAAAGUUUUCCACAUAUGUGAAGUUUAGUUCUUUUGUUGCCUCCUACCCCAGAGCCUGUGCCCUCUCCCCAGAUUCUGGUGGGAUCAACAUCCAUCACACCAGACUGGUGCAACGUCACCCUGGAGUGCAGAACCUCUGGCGCCACAAAAGACCUGAAUGUGACCUGGGAGAACAAGGGCAUCCCUGGAGAAUGGGAGCAGAGAAGGACAUUAGAACCAGCUUGCAGCCCAUACAUUCUGGCUGUGAGCGUGCCGAGAGGCCAGCCCAAUGCCAGCCUCGUCUGUGUGGUCAGCAACCCGGUGGAAUAUAAAACUGCCUUCUUCGACCUUGGGGGAGUCUGCAUCCAUGAUUCAGCCAACCAGGCGAAUGCUGACCUCCUGCCAGACAUCCUUAGGGCAGUCGCAGCUGUGUUAUUGAUCCUCGGAGGUGGACUGUACCUUUGGAAGAUACAUGAGAAGAUGAAGACUGGAAGAGGUGCAAGGUCACAAGAGGAUGAUAAUGACAGCAUUCAGUAUGCAGCCAGCAGGAAUCUCUAGAGCACAUGAACAAGGUUAUCAGGUCACUGAAAGAAAAGUGACCUUUCAGUACUAUCUACAGUGAGGUCUGUAAGUCAUGUCAUGCCAUGAAGACAAUUUAAUUGGAGGAAACAGAAGAAUUGACACUCCCAGGACACCUCUGCCAGGAGUUUGACCCCUGAAGGCACCCGCCUGCUCCACCUCUGGUCCAGUUCCAUCUGCCCUUUAUCCUUUACCUGGGCCUAUGUGGCCUUAUUACUUCCUCUGACACCUCUCCAAACUGCCCUCGUGUUCAGGAUCCUCACAGUCACAGGAUGAGCACUCCUCCUCUGCCAUUGACUCAACUCCUGACCCCUCACCUUCUGAAGCUUUCCAAAGAAGACUUUUCUGACUGUGUUAAUCCCCACAGCCUCUGCUGUGUGGUUAGUGUGUGUGUUUCCUUAAGAGCAUGAGCUGAGGCAUGGGGACUGCGUGAUGGCCCAUGCCACAGAGGAUGGAGUUAUGACCUUGGUGUUGAGUGCUGAGUUGGGGGUCAAUGGAAGGAGCAUGGGUAGGUAUGAAUCUGGAAAGGACUGGCCUGAGGAUUCCGUUGCACCUUACAUAGAGCAAAGCAUGUGUGUCAAGCAGUACACUUGUACUGGGAAGAAUGUCUAGUGUAUCUUAUAACCUUCUUCUUGGUUACUUGUUUUAACCUGGACUUUGGCUUCAAGUUGGCCCAUGGGCCCCAAACCCACCUUCUUGUCAAGUGGGAAGAGGAAUUUGUAACUCUUCACCCCCUUCCAGGACUUAAUUUUCUCAGAAAAUAAUCCUAGAACCUAGAAGUCAAGAAUUGCAUUCUUAGGAAAAUAGCUUCGGCCUGUCCCUUUCUGGGAUAGGGGUACUUGGUCAUGAUGAUGAAUGUGCAGUAUCCUCUGACCAUCCUCGAUGAGGCUUCCGGGGGAUAGGAAGAGUGAAGUUUGUAGGAAGAUAUGAACCAGCCCUUUCUGGUCUUUUCUAUUGAAGAGUCUUUCUGGCCUCAAUCUAAAUGUCAGCCUCCUCUUUGCUCACUCACAUCCCUUUGUCCAGAAAGAUGGCUCCCUUUCCCUGCUCCCUGCUCCCAACCCUGCCUACUGGAAUCCUAUCAUCCUGCCCAAAGCCCUCUUCCAAACCAUAUGUUCCAUGAAGCCUAUCUGGUUCCCAAAGGUUAAGAAAUGGUCUCUCCAAUAUCUGACCUUUUCAAACACCUUGGAGGCCCUUACAGUCUGCCCUGGAUUGGUCAUGAGUCUUUCCUGCUGGACUCACCUUGGGCUCCCUCAGGAGGGUGUUGGAGCCACAAGAAGCCAGUGCCAAGGAGACAAGCACCUCUGUCUGUGAAAGAUCUGGGCAACCCUUCUUUCCAACUCCUGGGGAACUCAGCAGACUGAGACCAAGAGCAGAGGCUGUUGAAGGUUUUUCUGGCAAGAGUCCACAAGGAAGCAAAGAUGGAUGUGAUGACCUCCAGCAACCCCACCUGUCCCAGAGGUCAGAGGUGGGGAUAUUCUCACACCAGCUCCAGCCUCACAUGGCCCGAAGACCUGUUUCAGCUGCACUGUGGUGUUGUGAGAGCUUCUACUUUCUCUGGGGGUCCUCACCUCCUGGAAGCCCCUGAUUCCUGCCUUGGAUCCCAGCUCUUGUGUAAGAAGUGGGUUCAGUCUAGUAGUGAGCUGCUGUGGUUUCUCAACUGACCCAGAUUCUUGAGUCACUUGGUUCUCCUCCUUGCUCAGCUCAGUUCAGCUGCUUCAUAUCUGCCUUCAGACUGUCUAAACAUGGUUCCUGCUGAGGGCUUGAGCAUCAUGAAGCAAUGCCAUGAGCCUAUUUGAUGUGUUUAUAUAUAUAAGCAGGUGAGAGGGGGAGGUAGGGGAUCUGCAAUAAGUCACCUUUUCUGAUCUCCUGUCCCUCAGGUAGAGCAGAAACCUGAGGGAGAUAUAGGCACCAUCUCCUCACAGAGUUCCCAUGUAACUGGUCUUGCUGGGCAUCAGUGUCCAUAAGCCCAAGAGCAUUGUAAGAUGAGACCACCCAGUAGUCAUUUCCACUCCACCAAAAGUAGAAAAAAGUAAAAUGAAGGGACCUGGGUUUUUCCAAACCUAUAGUGAACCAGGGUUUGUCCCAUGCAUUUUAGAAAUAUUAUUCUUAUAAUCUUUGUAAGGACACUCUAAGGUCGGUAUAAUUAUUCUCAUUUGAAUAACAGGAAACUGAUAUCUCAGACUAGUUCUGUGGUAGAGCAAAACCUUAAUCUAACAAAGUUCACAGCUUACCCCUUUACCAUUAGUCACUGGAGACCUUGUUAUUCUAGAGUAUUCAGAUGGGACUAUCCAAUUUUUCCUCUCCCAAGGAUCUUGGACUCUGACUGAGGUGUCUCAAUAUCCUAAUUGAUAUGGAGCAGCUGGUGGGUUAAAAAGGAUUCUCCUGAAGUGGACAAUGAGGUCUUGGUGGGUGGGAAACCAUAGAAUGAAAGAUCUUGACUUCUGAUGCAAAUGAGACAUUUUAAGAGAUGUUUCUGCCUCUUGUGUCUCUUUCCAUGCAAGGUGUGUGUGGAUGUCAUCACCUCAUCUUCAAACCAGCUUCCCCUUUGCAAUGUUAAUCAUAAAAUCAUUCAACAUUCAAUAGGCUUUCCAUAAGUCUGCUGCUGCUGCUGCUGCUAAGCUAAGUUGGACUGCUAAGUCCAACUCUGUGCGACCCCAUAGAUGGCAGCCCACCAGGCUCCCACAUCCCUGGGUUCUCCAGGCAAGAACACUGGAGUGAGUUGCCAUUUCCUUCCAUAAGUCUACGUUUGCCUUUAACAAUUCUGUGAGCAAAGAUCCCCAUUAUAUAGAUGAAGACAUAUAACCCACAGAUAUUAGGUACUUCCAUAAAGUCUCAUGAGUGUAAAUGCUUUGGGUCACAGGGAAUCAUAAUUUCAUUCAUUUUGACUCCUUCUUCUCCCCCAUCCCAGACACCCAACCAAUCACCAUGUGCCAUUGAGAUAAUCCUCAUUAAGUUUCUUAUAUUCCACUCUCUUAUUCUUUUAACCCCAUUGUCUACCUAAAAGAUCUACUACUUACAUCACAUCUUCAUUUGGAUGUCUAGCAUGUCUAAAUUUGAGCUCCCUAAACGUGUUUUCCAUAUACAUCCAUUAAAUAAAUGUUACCUCUGUCCUUCCUUUUGCUCUGGC
This 4255-nucleotide long non-coding RNA is filed under the name Bos indicus x Bos taurus (hybrid cattle). RNAcentral's name for it is "lncRNA (ENSBIXG00005005411.1)". Lineage: Eukaryota; Metazoa; Chordata; Mammalia; Artiodactyla; Bovidae. The record is from RNAcentral.